This 503-nucleotide ribosomal RNA is filed under the name uncultured bacterium. RNAcentral describes it as "partial 16S ribosomal RNA". It matches the Rfam family "Bacterial small subunit ribosomal RNA", at positions 29 to 523 of the family's 1533-position model. The record is from RNAcentral.
AACGAACGCUGGCGGCGUGUUUAAGACAUGCAAGUCGCACGGGAUAAGACAUGUAGUAAUACUUGUUUUAUUUAGUGGCGCACGGGUGAGUAACACGUGAAUUACAUGCCCUAUAGUGGGGAAUAGUCCAGGGAAACUUGGAUUAAUACCCCAUGGUAUCGAAAGAUUAAAGGUGGCCGCAAGGCUGUCGCUAUAGGAUUGGUUCGCGCCCUAUCAGCUUGUUGGUGAGGUAACGGCUCACCAAGGCAAUGACGGGUACCUGGUCUGAGAGGACGAUCAGGCACACUGGAACUGAGACACGGUACAGACACCUACGGGUGGCAGCAGUCGAGAAUAAUUCACAAUGGGGGCAACCCUGAUGGUGCAACGCCGCGUGGAGGAUGACGGUCUUCGGAUUGUAAACUCCUGUCAUCUGGGAGAAAGACCUGACGGUAAAUAGCCGGCAGGGUUGAUAGUACCAGAAGAGGAAGGGACGGCUAACUUCGUGCCAGCAGCCGCAGUAA